This 175-nucleotide ribosomal RNA is filed under the name Bensingtonia sp. CCFEE 5424. RNAcentral's name for it is "5.8S ribosomal RNA". The stretch from base 2 to 156 matches the Rfam family "5.8S ribosomal RNA". Rfam says of the family: 5.8S ribosomal RNA (5.8S rRNA) is a component of the large subunit of the eukaryotic ribosome. It is transcribed by RNA polymerase I as part of the 45S precursor that also contains 18S and 28S rRNA. Lineage: Eukaryota; Fungi; Basidiomycota; Agaricostilbomycetes; Agaricostilbales; Kondoaceae. The record is from RNAcentral.
CAACUUUCAGCAACGGAUUUCUUGGCUCUCGCAUCGAUGAAGAACGCAGCGAAAUGCGAUACGUAAUGUGAAUUGCAGAACUCAGUGAAUCAUCGAAUUUUUGAACGCACCUUGCGCUCUUUAGUUAUUCUGAAGAGCAUGCUUGUUUCAGUGUCGCGAACCUCUCAACCCCGCC